RNAcentral lists this ribosomal RNA (297 nucleotides) under uncultured bacterium. RNAcentral's name for it is "partial 16S ribosomal RNA". It matches the Rfam family "Bacterial small subunit ribosomal RNA", at positions 775 to 1067 of the family's 1533-position model. The record is from RNAcentral.
GGAUUAGAUACCCUGGUAGUCCACGCCCUAAACGAUGUACACUAGUUGUUGCGAUGCUAGACAUUGCAGUAAUGCAGUUAACACAUUAAGUGUACCGCCUGGGGAGUACGGUCGCAAGAUUAAAACUCAAAGGAAUAGACGGGGACCCGCACAAGCGGUGGAGCAUGUGGUUUAAUUCGACGAUACGCGAAGAACCUUACCUGGCCUUGACAUAGAGAGAACUUACUAGAGAUAGUUUGGUGUCUGCUUGCAGAAGCUCUCAUACAGGUGCUGCACGGCUGUCGUCAGCUCGUGCCG